RNAcentral lists this ribosomal RNA (222 nucleotides) under uncultured bacterium. Its description in RNAcentral is "partial 16S ribosomal RNA". It matches the Rfam family "Bacterial small subunit ribosomal RNA", at positions 118 to 340 of the family's 1533-position model. The record is from RNAcentral.
UGAGCAAUCUGCCCUUCUCAUCGGAAUAACCAUUGGAAACGAUGGCUAAUGCCGAAUAUGACCUCGGAUCACAUGUUCUGAGGUGGAAAGCUCCGGCGGAGAAGGAUGAGCUCGCGGCCUAUCAGCUUGUUGGUGAGGUAAUGGCUCACCAAGGCGACGACGGGUAGCCGGCCUGAGAGGGUGACCGGCCACACGUGGGACUGAGACACGGCCCAGACUCCG